CGUGUAGGCGGUUUGGCAAGUCGAGUGUAAAUCCCACGGCUCAACCGUGGAACUGCGCUCGAAACUGCCUUACUUGAGUGCGGGAGAGGUGUGCGGAAUUCCUGGUGUAGCGGUGGAAUGCGUAGAUAUCAGGAAGAACACCGGUGGCGAAGGCGGCACACUGGCCCAGCACUGACGCUGAGGCGCGAAAGCGUGGGGAGCGAACG
RNAcentral lists this ribosomal RNA (206 nucleotides) under uncultured bacterium. RNAcentral's name for it is "partial 16S ribosomal RNA". It matches the Rfam family "Bacterial small subunit ribosomal RNA", at positions 568 to 774 of the family's 1533-position model. The record is from RNAcentral.